GGACUACUGGGGUUUCUAAUCCUGUUUGAUCCCCACGCUGUCGCGCCUGAGCGUCAGAAACGGGCCAGUGAGCCGCCUUCGCCACCGGUGUUCUUCCCAAUAUCUACGAAUUUCACCUCUACACUGGGAAUUCCACUCACCUCUCCCGUACUCUAGCCAUCUAGUUUCAAGGGCAGUUCCAGAGUUGAGCUCUGGGCUUUCACCCCUGACUUGAAUGGCCGCCUGCGCGCGCUUUACGCCCAGUAAUUCCGAACAACGCUAGCCCCCUUCGUAUUACCGCGGCUGCUGGCAC
Molecule: ribosomal RNA, 292 nt
Filed under: uncultured bacterium
Lineage: Bacteria
Description: partial 16S ribosomal RNA
Source: RNAcentral